AUUGAACGCUGGCGGCAGGCCUAACACAUGCAAGUCGAACGGUAACAGGAAACAGCUUGCUGUUUCGCUGACGAGUGGCGGACGGGUGAGUAAUGUCUGGGAAACUGCCUGAUGGAGGGGGAUAACUACUGGAAACGGUAGCUAAUACCGCAUAACGUCGCAAGACCAAAGAGGGGGACCCUCGGGCCUCUUGCCAUCGGAUGUGCCCAGAUGGGAUUAGCUUGUUGGUGGGGUAACGGCUCACCAAGGCGACGAUCCCUAGCUGGUCUGAGAGGAUGACCAGCCACACGGGAACUGAGACACGGUCCAGACCCCUACGGGGGGCAGCAGGGGGGAAUUUUGCACAAGGGGCGCAAGCCUUAUGCAGCCAUGCCGGGUGUAUGAAGAAGGCCUUCGGGUUGUAAAGUACUUUCAGCGGGGAGGAAGGGAGUAAAGUUAAUACCUUUGCUCAUUGACGUUACCCGAAGAAGAAGCACCGGCUAACCCCGU
Molecule: ribosomal RNA, 489 nt
Filed under: uncultured bacterium
Lineage: Bacteria
Description: partial 16S ribosomal RNA
Rfam family: Bacterial small subunit ribosomal RNA
Source: RNAcentral